CUUUGGUCAUGUCUGGAACACGAACUGUCGGACUGCUGCUGCUACUGUGGGGCUGCGCCUGCCUGCGGCUGCCCGGCGCGGCUCAGGGCGCUUUGGUCAUCCCCGGGCCGGAUGGAGGCGCCGAGGAGGCAAGACAUUCUGCCAGGCUGUUGCAG
Long non-coding RNA from Hippocampus comes (tiger tail seahorse), 155 nucleotides. RefSeq lists it as uncharacterized. The transcript is spliced from 2 exons. Lineage: Eukaryota; Metazoa; Chordata; Actinopteri; Syngnathiformes; Syngnathidae. The record is from RefSeq and is a predicted model, not a curated record.